AAACUACAAGGGGAGCCGAAGCUCCCCAAGAAAGUAGUUGCGUGCUCUUUUUUAUUAUUGAUUCGGGCUUCUUGUUUUUGUUGAGUGCCCUCGCCAUGAAGCUUUUCCUUCAUGACCCUCCCAAUCGGGAGCCAAGAGCAAACGGAUUGCUUUGGUCGCUGAAUUGCAGUGAUCUCUCGAUCCAACCAGUACAGGCUCUGUCUUAGGACAGUU
RNAcentral lists this small RNA (213 nucleotides) under Pseudomonas jessenii. Its description in RNAcentral is "Pseudomonas sRNA P29". The record is from RNAcentral. Lineage: Bacteria; Pseudomonadati; Pseudomonadota; Gammaproteobacteria; Pseudomonadales; Pseudomonadaceae.